CGUGUGGUUCUAUUUUGUUGGUUUCUAGGACCGCCGUAAUGAUUAAUAGGGACAGUCGGGGGCGUCAGUAUUCAGUUGUCAGAGGUGAAAUUCUUGGAUCUACUGAAGACUAACUACUGCGAAAGCAUUCGCCAAGGAUGUUUUCAUUGAUAAGGAACGAAAGUUAGGGGAUCGAAGACGAUCAGAUACCCUCGUAGUCUUAACUAUAAACUAUGCCGACUAGGGAUCGGACGAUGUUAUUUUUUGACUCGUUCGGCACCUUUCGAGAAAUCAAAGUGCUUGGGCUCCAGGGGGAGUAUGGUCGCAAGGCUGAAACUUAAAGAAAUUGACGGAAGGGCACCACCAGGGGUGGAACCUGCGGCUUAAUUUGACUCAACACGGGGAAACUCACCAGGUCCAGACACAGUGAGGAUUGACAGAUUGAUAGCUCUUUCUUGAUUCUGUGGGUGGUGGUGCAUGGCCGUUCUUAGUUGGUGGAGUGAUUUGUCUGCUUAAUUGCGAUAACGAACGAGACCUUAACCUGCUAAAUAGCCCCUAUUGCCUCGGCAGUAGGCUGGCUUCUUAGAGGGACUAUCGGCUCAAGCCGAUGGAAGUUUGAGGCAAUAACAGGUCUGUGAUGCCCUUAGAUGUCCUGGCCGCACGCGCGUUACACUGACAAAGCCAGCGAGUAUUUCCUUGGCCGGAAGGCCCGGGUAAUCUUGUUAAACUUUGUCGUGC
This 717-nucleotide ribosomal RNA is filed under the name uncultured fungus. RNAcentral's name for it is "SSU rRNA". It matches the Rfam family "Eukaryotic small subunit ribosomal RNA", at positions 827 to 1570 of the family's 1831-position model. Lineage: Eukaryota; Fungi. The record is from RNAcentral.